This 225-nucleotide long non-coding RNA is filed under the name Brassica napus (rape). RNAcentral's name for it is "long non-coding RNA (BNAP_LNC003060)". The record is from RNAcentral. Lineage: Eukaryota; Viridiplantae; Streptophyta; Magnoliopsida; Brassicales; Brassicaceae.
AAUUUGUUGUUCAAGACAGACAAGUUUUGACAGCAGUUAGUGAUCUCCGGAAAGAUGGGAAGCCAGCUGCUGCUGAUGCUGCUCCAACUCUUGCUCCUGCUCCUGCUCCUUCUCCUAUCUUUUGAAUUUAUCAGCCACCAUAAUUUCUGCUUCAUUUCCCUUUUAAAUAUUUUUAAUCUAUUUUAAUAUAGUUAAAACUUCUUUAAAUAGUUGAUUAUGUCUUUC